This is a long non-coding RNA of Saccostrea echinata, 195 nucleotides long. RefSeq lists it as uncharacterized. Lineage: Eukaryota; Metazoa; Mollusca; Bivalvia; Ostreida; Ostreidae. The transcript is spliced from 3 exons. The record is from RefSeq and is a predicted model, not a curated record.
UUACAAGGUUUGAGGGUCUCUGCUAGAAUCAUGUGGACCCCAGUGUAACAAAUCUAUGGAAAGAGAGAAAAUCUCAGCUCAAGGGUCAACAUGUCUUUAUUCCAAGAAAGAGUGUACAUAUGCCAGAAUCAUAUGGACCGCAGACUGGCCCUGGUGAUUCCGUUAAGAAAAAAGAGGAAAAAUCAGUGCUUGUCU